RNAcentral lists this ribosomal RNA (508 nucleotides) under Dendrocerus carpenteri. RNAcentral's name for it is "partial 16S ribosomal RNA". Lineage: Eukaryota; Metazoa; Arthropoda; Insecta; Hymenoptera; Megaspilidae. The record is from RNAcentral.
GGUUUUUUGAUUAAUAAUUUUAAAUCAGGUCUGCUCAAUGAAAUAUUUAAAUGGCUGCAGUAUAUUAACUGUGCUAAGGUAGCAUAAUAAUUAGUUUAUUAAUUGUAAACUGGAAUGAAUGAUUUAAUAAAAUAAAUACUUUUUUAAUUUAAUUUAUUUAACUUAAUAAGUUAGUAAAAAUGCUGACAUGAUAUAGAAAGACGAUAAGACCCUAUAAAAUUUUAUAAAAUAUAAUAGAUAAUUAAAUAUUAUAUACAUAAUUAUUUAAUUUUUUAUUUAAUUGGGGUGAUUUUAUUAUUUAAUAAAUUAAUAAUUUUAAUAUACAUUAAAUUAUGAAUUAAUGAUCCAAAAUUUUUGAUUAACUGAUUAAAUUACUUUAGGGAUAACAGCGUAAUGACUUAUUUAAGUUCUUAUAAAUUAAGUUUUUUGCGACCUCGAUGUUGAAUUAAGAUUAAUUUUAAAAGUAAAGUAUUAAAAUUUUAGUCUGUUCGACUAUAAAUUCUUACAU